CCUACGGGAGGCAGCAGUGAGGAAUAUUGGUCAAUGGGCGGGAGCCUGAACCAGCCAAGUAGCGUGAAGGAUGACGGCCCUACGGGUUGUAAACUUCUUUUAUAAAGGAAUAAAGUGAGGCACGUGUGCCUUUUUGCAUGUACAGUAUGAAUAAGGAUCGGCUAACUCCGUGCCAGCAGCCGCGGUAAUACGGAGGAUCCGAGCUUUAUCCGGAUUUAUUGGGUUUAAAGGGAGCGUAGGUGGGUUGUUAAGUGAGUUGUGAAAGUUUGCGGCUCAACCGUAAAAUUGCAGUUGAUACUGGCAGUCUUGAGUACAGUUGAGGUAGGCGGAAUUCGUGGUGUAGCGGUGAAAUGCUUAGAUAUCACGAAGAACUCCGAUUGCGAAGGCAGCUUACUAAACUGCCACUGACGUUGAUGCUCGAAAGUGUGGGUAUCAAACAGGAUUAGAUACCCUUGUAGUC
This 460-nucleotide ribosomal RNA is filed under the name uncultured bacterium. RNAcentral's name for it is "partial 16S ribosomal RNA". It matches the Rfam family "Bacterial small subunit ribosomal RNA", at positions 338 to 795 of the family's 1533-position model. The record is from RNAcentral.